This 374-nucleotide ribosomal RNA is filed under the name uncultured bacterium. Its description in RNAcentral is "bacterial SSU rRNA". It matches the Rfam family "Bacterial small subunit ribosomal RNA", at positions 524 to 898 of the family's 1533-position model. The record is from RNAcentral.
UACGAAGGGAGCUAGCGUUGUUCGGAAUUACUGGGCGUAAAGGGCGCGUAGGCGGCCUUGUAAGUCAGAUGUGAAAGCCCCGGGCUUAACCUGGGAACUGCAUUUGAUACUGCAAGGCUAGAGAUCGAGAGAGGAAAGUGGAAUUACGAGUGUAGAAGUGAAAUUCGUAGAUAUUCGUAGGAACACCAGUGGCGAAGGCGACUUUCUGGCUCGAUACUGACGCUAAAGCGCGAAAGCGUGGGGAGCAAACAGGAUUAGAUACCCUGGUAGUCCACGCUGUAAACGAUGAGUGCUAGAUGUUAGGAAGGUAACUUCUUAGUGUCGCAGUUAACGCAUUAAGCACUCCGCCUGGGGAGUACGGUCGCAAGAUUAAA